Molecule: long non-coding RNA, 2060 nt
Filed under: Nicotiana tabacum (common tobacco)
Lineage: Eukaryota; Viridiplantae; Streptophyta; Magnoliopsida; Solanales; Solanaceae
Description: long non-coding RNA (NTAB_LNC011471)
Source: RNAcentral
UUUGCUAAUCUGUUGCUGGAGAUGAGGACAUUUAGCGAAGCAGGCAAAAUAGUACGAUCCAAUCUACCAAGUAGUAGUAUGAUCCAAUCUACCAAGUGGUUAUGAUUGGUACAAAGCUUCCUUUUUUUCUCUUUAGUUUUCCUCUGAAUUUGUAGUAGAAUAAAUGGAAAAAAUAAAAGAUUCACACACAAAAAAAAAAUGAUUUCCGUAGUUUAGCGAGUUAUUGAAGAAAUUUUCUCAACCAUGUUGACAAGUUCUUUGGAAAAAAAAAUAAUGGUUGCUUCUGAUCAAUUAAACGAUAUCCUUCAACUAAUGUUUAUCACUCUGAGUACAUUUCUGGAAUCUUAUGUGCAAUUUACAUAAACAAAAAGUAUUUAGGCAUAUCAUUAUGAAAUUUUAAAAGAAAAAUAAAAAGGAAGAGCUACAAUAAAAAAUAUGUAAAUUCAUGGUAACUUUCCAAAGGAAUUAUCUUUCACUGAAGAAAAGAAAGUUAAAUGCAAAGAAGUAGGAAAUAACUAGAAUAAGAUCCCUACAUCCAGGGGCGGCUCAAUGUAUCUCGUGACCUAAGGCAAAACCAUAUUGAGAGGCCCUUAAAUUUAUUUUAUAAAAUAUUUACACUAACAAUAAAAUUUACUUUCUAAACAAUACAUUAAUCAUUUAAGACAAAAAUAAGCGAAUUUCAAAAAACAAAUAAGAAGAAGAGCACAAAAGAUAAAGUGGUGGACUAUCGGAUAUUGAGGUCCACAAAUUUUGAUUUGGCUAUCAUCACAAACAAGAAAAAGAAAUAAACGUACAUAACGUAAUAGCUUAAGUUUUGAGCAUUAAAGUAAAAAAUAUUUACUCCUUAUGAUCAAUUUAAAUGAUAAUUGUAGUCAUUUUAUUGAAUAGCACUUAUUGGUGAAUAUCUAAAAUAAAUUAUAAAUAACCUAAUAUAAUAUGUCGAAUUAUACUAAAAGAAAACCGGUGCAUGAAUGCUUUUGUGUUCAUGCAGUUUGAGAGAACAUUGUAAAAGAAAUUCAUUAUAUUGUCAAUAUAUAUAACAUAAUUCCUAUAUAAAAAGGAUAAAAUUAAAAUUGAAGACAGAAGCAAAUAUACUAAUUAAUCAGUAAAGAAAAUUAUCAUAAUUUAUAAAGUAAUUCCUAUAUAAAAAGGAUAAAGUUAAAAUUGAAGACAGAAGCAAAUAUACUAAUUAAUCAGUAAAGAAAAUUAUCAUAAUUUAUGAGUUUAUUGAUAUAAAAUAAUCUCAAUCAAAUAACAAAAAAAAAUAUAUUGUAACACUUUUCUUUAUACUAAUUAUUUAUAUUAUUUAUAUAAUAUAUAGUAAUAAUAAUAAGAAUUUAAAAUAAAUUCGGGGCCUUCAAAUUUUGGGGGCCUAAGCCCUAAGGCGACAACCUCUCUGCCCAAGCCUUUAGAGCCGCCCCUGCCUAUAUCUCCUGUUUGCUGAACUGUGGAUUUUAAAUGAGAUUCUAGUCAACCUCUGUGUGUUCUUUGUUAAGUUUUCUUCACGAAUGAGAGCUGAAGUACUUGAAACUUUUGUAUACUUUGCUUAGUCACAUAAGUAACUUUUGGUGCUUUAUAAAGGAGAAUCCUCCGGGCUAUUUGGUGGAGUUUUGGUUAUGAGUUGGUGAAAUGACUGUGAAGCUGAGAAAGAUGAACUUCUUGCUUGCAGAUCACCCAUUGUUCCAACACCAAAUGUAGAUCUCAAGUAUAUGACAGUUAUUCAAACUCAAGGCAAUCACGAGGCAACAGAAUGUGCAGGUGCGGGGGUAUAUAAGCUUCACAAAGCUGAGUUGCAAGAACUCCUUCACUUUAAGCUGCUAGGUACAGGUUGAUCAACAUAAAAGCAAUCUAUACAUUCUUUUUUUGUUUGCACAUUUUCAAUAAAUAUAAUAGAACAAUUUGCAAGUUCUAUCUAUAAAAGAGAUUGUUUACACGUCCUUUUGCGAAUAGAAAAAUGAGAAAGAAAGGUGCUCUUUAUGUCAAAGGGCGAUGCCAGCAAACGAUAUUCAUAUUAUCAACUGUACAAAAAAUAAUCUUUGCUUAGAAAGAACAGAUCAAGG